This 466-nucleotide ribosomal RNA is filed under the name Vreelandella stevensii. RNAcentral describes it as "partial 16S ribosomal RNA". It matches the Rfam family "Bacterial small subunit ribosomal RNA", at positions 338 to 795 of the family's 1533-position model. The record is from RNAcentral. Lineage: Bacteria; Pseudomonadati; Pseudomonadota; Gammaproteobacteria; Oceanospirillales; Halomonadaceae.
CCUACGGGAGGCUGCAGUGGGGAAUAUUGGACAAUGGGGGGAACCCUGAUCCAGCCAUGCCGCGUGUGUGAAGAAGGCCCUCGGGUUGUAAAGCACUUUCAGUGAGGAAGAACGCCUGGUGGUUAAUACCCAUCAGCAAAGACAUCACUCACAGAAGAAGCACCGGCUAACUCCGUGCCAGCAGCCGCGGUAAUACGGAGGGUGCGAGCGUUAAUCGGAAUUACUGGGCGUAAAGCGCGCGUCAGGUGGCUUGAUCAGCCGGUUGUGAAAGCCCCGGGCUCAACCUGGGAACGGCAUCCGGAACUGGCAAGCUUGAGUGUAGGAGAGGAAGGUAGAAUUCCCGGUGUAGCGGUGAAAUGCGUAGAGAUCGGGAGGAAUACCAGUGGCGAAGGCGGCCUUCUGGACUGACACUGACGAUGAGGUGCGAAAGCGUGGGGAGCAAACAGGAUUAGAUACCCUAGUAGUC